Molecule: ribosomal RNA, 290 nt
Filed under: uncultured bacterium
Lineage: Bacteria
Description: partial 16S ribosomal RNA
Rfam family: Bacterial small subunit ribosomal RNA
Source: RNAcentral
AGUCACCUACGGGACGCAGCAGUGGGGAAUAUUGCACAAUGGGGGAAACCCUGAUGCAGCGACGCCACGUGGGCGAGGAAGUACCUCGGUAUGUAAAGCCCUAUCAGCAGGGAAGAAACAGGACAGUACCUGACUAAGAAGCCCCGGCUAACUACGUGCCAGCAGCCGCGGUAAUACGUAGGGGGCAAGCGUUAUCCGGAUUCACUGGGCGUAAAGGGAGCGCAGGCGGCAUGGCAAGUCUGGAGUGAAAGCCCGGGGCCCAACCCCGGAACUGCUCUGGAAACUGUGCG